Non-coding RNA from Baffinella frigidus, 72 nucleotides. Lineage: Eukaryota; Cryptophyceae; Cryptomonadales; Baffinellaceae. The record is from the annotation of a GenBank genome assembly.
GCUUUCGUAGCUAAAUGGUCCAGCAUUUGGCUGCUACCCAUACAAGUAUAGGUGCGAGUCCUGUCUAGAGAG